Molecule: ribosomal RNA, 451 nt
Filed under: uncultured bacterium
Lineage: Bacteria
Description: partial 16S ribosomal RNA
Rfam family: Bacterial small subunit ribosomal RNA
Source: RNAcentral
GUGGGGAAUAUUGGACAAUGGGGGGAACCCUGAUCCAGCCAUGCCGCGUGUGUGAAGAAGGCCUUUUGGUUGUAAAGCACUUUAAGCGAGGAGGAGGCUACCGAGAUUAAUACUCUUGGAUAGUGGACGUUACUCGCAGAAUAAGCACCGGCUAACUCUGUGCCAGCAGCCGCGGUAAUACAGAGGGUGCAAGCGUUAAUCGGAUUUACUGGGCGUACAGCGCGCGUAGGUGGCCAAUUAAGUCAAAUGUGGAAUCCCCGAGCUUAACUUGGGAAUUGCAUUCGAUACUGGUUGGGUAGAGUAUGGGAGAGGAUGGUAGAAUUCCAGGUGUAGCAGUGAAAUGCGUAGAGAUCUGGAGGAAUACCGAUGGCGAAGGCAGCCAUCUGGCCUAAUACUGACACUGAGGUGCGAAAGCAUGGGGAGCAAACAGGAUUAGAUACCCGUGUAGUCC